RNAcentral lists this ribosomal RNA (253 nucleotides) under uncultured bacterium. RNAcentral describes it as "partial 16S ribosomal RNA". It matches the Rfam family "Bacterial small subunit ribosomal RNA", at positions 524 to 776 of the family's 1533-position model. The record is from RNAcentral.
UACGUAGGGCGCAAGCGUUAUCCGGAAUUAUUGGGCGUAAAGAGCUCGUAGGCGGUCUGUCGCGUCUGCCGUGAAAGUCCGGGGCUCAACUCCGGAUCUGCGGUGGGUACGGGCAGACUAGAGUGAUGUAGGGGAGAACGGAAUUCCUGGUGUAGCGGUGAAAUGCGCAGAUAUCAGGAGGAACACCGGUGGCGAAGGCGGGUCUCUGGGCCGAUACUGACGCUGAGGCACGAAGGUCAGGGGAGCAAACGGG